GAAAACUAAAGAAACUGGACAUAGUUUUGCGGAAUGAGUCCUCUCUUCCCAUUUAGAGUUCCUUCUAACCAGCCAGGUUCUCGUGAAAGAUGCACUGAACAACACAGAAAAAGAGAAGAAAAAAAUUAUGAAGAAAAUGUCCGAAGAUUCAGACCAGGUCCCCAAAGAAAUGAACCGUAUGCCUACUUUCCCUUUUUCUGUAGCCUUUCUUUGUGGCCUGCCAUUCUGUUGGGAAGGGGGAGCUUUUGAGAUUGCUUUGCACUGUCUGCAGAAUGGAAUGUCUCUCCCUUAUCUAAGGGACAGUUUGCACUUGGAGCCAGGAGAAAUUGAAAGUGAGAAAGACCUUGAAAAGCCCGCUGAAAAGACCAGUUUUUGAAAAGACCAGUUACCAAAACAUGAUGCCACCUGUGAAAUGGCUGGGAUUCAAACGAACACUGAGAUUCUGCGGGGAGGAGUAUUGAAUGUUGCUUUUAAUAUAUUGCUUCGCGGGUUUUUCUCUCAGAUUCUGCCUUGAUCCCCUACUGCAACUAGCCGCUAAUAAACGUUCCUUUUGAAACAAUGCAUGUUUCAAGAGUUCUGCUUUCUUGGGAAGCUUAGCUGAGGUAGGUCCUUACACUUUGUAAGCCAUCCAGAGUCAGUGCAACAGUGAGAUGUAUGGAAUAUAAAUUUAAUAAAUAAUAAAUAAGUAGGUAAAGUUUUCAAAAUUGUCUCAAAACAUAGGAAAGAAGCUAUUUCCUACUUUUGGCUUUCCAAGAAGUUGAGCAAGAUAAGGCUGCAGUGAUACAAUCUAUCUCUGUCUUAAGUAAUUGCCAGACAAAAACCAAGCCAUGUGGACAAGGGAUAAAUUAAACCAUUGUAUUAAAAGAAAUCCUGAUGCCAAGCAUGUGCUAAAUCUUACCAAGCUGACUCUCAAAAGGCUCAAAAAAUAGUCUUUGGAAAUCUGUGAAGCACAAGCUUUCUUUUAUUCAGCAAUGUAGUUUUGGUAAUAGAGGGAAACAUAACAUAGCUUAUCCUAUGCUAUUAAGGUCUUGCAUAAAAACUUCACGUGACAUUUGGAAAGUCUCUUUGCUUCUGAAUCUCAUUUGUGACAGUCAUCUAUUCCUGAAGGCAUCGCUGAAGUAGCUUGAAUCCAAAGGCUGAAGGAUUUUGGUAUAAUUUUAAUGAUGUGGAAACAAUCACAAGGAUGCAAACUCCCUUUUUCCAAAUGGAGAAUUUAAAUAGAGCCUUAAAUGCAUUUCCCUUUCUUCUUUUGAGGAAGAGACAUGAGGUCUGACAUGCCUGAAAGCAUUCUGUUAAAUUCCUGCUUUGUGAACCACAUGUUUCAACAACAAUUUUGUACAUAGAUUUGACUACAGGAGUUUCAACUCACAUGCCAAGAAACCACACCUUUAAACUAAACUUGCUUUUAAGAGAAGUCUUUGAAGCAAUUAAAUAAACAUUUAAUUCCUCUUUUAUUACUUUUGAUUCAGACGCAAUCUGUCUAUAAGGUAAUUUUUGACAAGAUACAACUAUAACAUCCCAGUUUUCUUAAUGGUAAACAGACUAAGAACAAAAGAGAACAGAAGAAGGAAUAAUAAUAAUAGAAAAACCUAUUUUUUAAUCUACUGUAAGCAAAAAUAAUACAGUGUGUGGCAAAAUGACUAAAUGAACUCCACUUAUUUCAAGCACAGGGUAGAUGUAUAUUUCUGUUUUAUAUAUGCUUGUUUUUUUCUCUGCUCCCUUUUCUCUGUUCAUGCAGAAAAAACAGAUCAUUUCCAAGUUUUUAAAUCCGCCUUAACUUGUUUAAAAAAAUGUAAAUACUUUGCCAAGUCUUAAGAUGAUGAAAAAAUUAAGUUCAUGAGAAACUUUUCUUAUUUCUAUUUUUGAGGUAAAAGAAUAAUGCCCAGUAGGAAGUCAGGGACCAUAUUUGGAGAUAAAAGGAGAGACUGACUCAAAACAAUUUCCUAGGAGAUAAAUGAUAGUAGAUACUUUUUAAAAUGGCCAAUGUUACAGAAAAUCUGAGACCACCAGAAGAAAAACAAAACUAGCCUCAUGUUUCCAUCAUUUCCCUAGCCAAAACCAUCAUAUCAUCAUGGGACUUCAUCUAACUCAGCAUACAGCAACCCAUGAACUCAGUAAGGAAUGGGAAAAGCUAUUACCUCAGAAUAGGCAUCCACUUGGAGCACAAAGCGAUUUUGAGAUAAUACUUUGGGCACUGACAUAAUGUAACAAAUGUUAGGAGAGUAUGGUUAGUCACAAAAUAUUAUUUACCAGAAAGCACAACCGAUAAGUUCCCAGAAGUUUUCUUCCCUUCAUGCUUGCUACUACCCUGCCUUUUUUCUCAUUAAAAAGUUAUCAAUGUGCUAUAGCUUGCAUUCAGGAAUUUACUUUUUUAAAAAAAGAGGCAUGUGAACAGUUGUGUAAUUCACUACUGUUUCUGCUGCUAUCCACCAGUUAACAACUGCCAAAAAGGGAGAUAAAUCUACAGAUAUAGAAGUGUUAGCUUUCUCGUGUAUUUGAGCCAACUGCUAUCUUUUCUGGCAGAGGACAAGUAUAAAGAAGGCCUGCAACUUCUUUGAAAAAAUGUAUCAAAAUAUAUAAUUGCCCUCUGUCACAGAAGCACCUUCUUCAGUUGCUAGCUGAAUGAUGUAAGUUGCAAAUGCUGCCUUUAAGACAGUGAUGGCGAACCUUUUAGAGACCGAGUGCCCAAACUGCAACCCAAAACCCACUUAUUUAUCGCAAAGUGCCAGGACUGCAUCAGCAUUGUGGUGCCCUCAGGGGGGGCAUUGGGUGGGCGUGGCUGCAGUAGUCACGGCAGACUGGGUGAGGUGGCAUCCCCGUGGUGCCAAUGCUGCUUGCUCGCUCACUUCCUGCCCUGUCGCUUCCAAAUGCCAUGUGCUCGCUACUCUGGCGAACUCUGCUGGGGCAACGGUGUGCAUGCCCACAGAGAGGGCUCUGGGUGCCGCCUCUGGCACACAUGCCAUAGGUUCGUCACCACUGCUUUAAGACAAUAGAUGAACAUCAGAAUUAAAAGAAGAAUUGCUGCUUGUGGUUAGUAGAUCAAUUCAUCCUGGAUGUUGUCUUCUCCUGUGAAAUGCUUUGCAUUCUUGCAACUUCCAAAAUAAAAAUCUUGUAUGACACAUCCUUAUUGCUUCUGGGAUAAGUGCUAAGUCAGCUCAGGACUUAGAAUCAUAAGCUGACUUUAAACUUAGAUGAAAUGCUAUUUUAUUUUAAUUGAUUUAUUGAUUUAAAAGAUUUCUACAGCUGCCAAUCUCUUUCUCUGUCUCUCUCUUUCUCUCAUACAUGCACACAAAUACACACACAUAUAAAAAUAAACAAGAUAAACAAGUUAUAGUAAAUCCUGUAAAACAACCAACAAGUCACAAGUGUAACACAUUCAGAUGGGGGACACCAGUUAUUUCAUACCUUACAGGAUAUCAACAUCCUGGAUCCACUGUCUGAAGGGCCAUUUAGGUUUUCAAGGCCUUCCUAAAGACUAACAAGGUCAAAACUAGUCAAUCUCAGGGGAAAGACUGUUCCACAGUAUAGGUACCAUAAUGGAGGAGGCAUUCCUGUGGGUUCCAUCAGAUUAUACUGUUUCAAGAAGGGAACCUGGAUCAUGUCUCCUCUAUUAGUGUGUGGGACAUGGCAAGAAAUAACUGGAGACAGCCCCACAAAUGUUAUUGAAAUGAUGGUUAAACCAACUAACUAACCAUAUCUUGGAAUCCAAAACUCUUGAUAGUGAAACUAGAUCAAAAAACAAGUACACUGUGCUUUCUUUAGCACUUAUAGCCCUGUACAAGCAUUCUUCGACAGUAUAUAUACAUCAUAAUAGACUUUCUGUAUUUGUGAAAGGAAACCAAAUCUUUACCCCAACAAAGCUACAGCAGCUAUAUAAAUUAUAUUACUUUAGAUUGACCUAAAGCUCUUUUAUAUUACUAUCAUCAACCCACUCCUUGUCUAUGGAGAUUCUCAGUGUCUAUUUUAGUACUCAAAGAGGGCUAAUGACUAGAUGCCUAUAAGGAACAUAUAUCCUUCCAUUCUCCACCAUUCAGCCAGAACUGAAGAAGCUUCUUGGAUGAGAAGUGAAACAUCUUCAAGGAAAAACAAAAAAGUCCAUUUGGCUUUUGAAAAAGCACCUUUGGGACAAUCUACUCCUUCUUGCUUAAUAUUGUGCAAUAAUCAAUAUAUUCCUUUUCAUAGUGCCAGAAAACCACUUUACAGUUAAUACCUGCUUUCUUGUUUUGAGUAGGAUUAACAAAGGAAAACAAUUAUUUUGAAAAGUGGUCAGAGUUGAAAAGAGUAUCCUGUUUUGGUGCCAUACUCAAAUUCAAGAUCUUCCUUUCAUUCUAUAAAAGAGUGGGGCAUAAGUCAAUGUUGUAUAAAAAGAAUCCUAAGUGAACAUGUAUUUAUCACAACAAGAGGUAACUUGGAAUUGAUAGGAAAUAUUAGAACUAUAAGACUGUCAAUGAGCAAAUGUAGAAGUGACUUUGGAAACUGGGAAGAGAGUAAUUAACCAUUAAGGGAAAAGAAAUAGCAACUCAACUCUGAAAACGUGGAAAGUAUGAGAAAGAAACUCCAAAUAAUUCCUAGAUUUAUUUGAUUUCAAAUAAACUCCUUGAUUUAGUUCAGAAUAAUAUGGCUUUCCAUUUUCCAUUACUCUAUCUUACAAUAUAAUGAGCAUUCCUGAAAUCCAAGAAUUCUGUUUCUUGACCUCAUCCCCAUCAAAGGGCCAACAGAGAUUUUCUUUGAUCUGGUUUCUAACAUUCAACAUGACUACAUUCGUACCCUGAAUUUCUCCAUUAUAGUCUAUGUAAUAUGAGCUCAGCAGCAACGAGCCCAAACUUUCCAAACCUAGUUCUUACUCAGUUCUGACAUAUUAUUAAAAGUAUAAGAAGUAGUUCUUUUUAUUGAAUGAAUAUUGAUCUUUUUAAUGUGCUAUUGCUUGUUCAAAUAUGUAGUUCAUUUCUACCAAGUUUCACUAAGCCUUCCCCAAACUCCUAUCCUACAGAUUUGCUGCUUCAGAAGCUCUCAGAAUUUCCAUUUUAGUGUGUCUAUUGAUUGGAAAUCUAGGGAUCAAGAAGGCUAGAUUAGGAAAAUCUGCAGUAGGUUGAAAGGAAAUGUAAAUAGAAAAACUGCAUCUUUACACUGUAUUUCUACAGUGUAGUACAGAGUAAGAGGUAAAACCAUGGCUAAUAUGGAUCUCCAAUUAAAUUCUUUGUAUCUCUCAGUUCUACUUUGAUCCAUAAGUUGUAUAAAAUAUUCCUUGUGUUCCAUUAAAUGUUCAAAUAAGAUUAAACCCAAACUAUGCACAGAUUGUCUUAAUGCGAUUUUUUUUCCAGCUUCAUCAGACAUUGGCUCAGGAAAACAUAUGCUUACAAUGGAUGCUGCAUGUAUUGUUCCAGACACCAUUUAGGGAGACUAUAUGAUAUUACAUGUCAGCUUUCUAAAAGAUAGGCUUAUUUGUAGGAUUAUAAAAGUGAUAA
This is a long non-coding RNA of Crotalus tigris (Tiger rattlesnake), 5465 nucleotides long. RefSeq lists it as uncharacterized. NCBI's taxonomy places the organism in Eukaryota, Metazoa, Chordata, Lepidosauria, Squamata, Viperidae. The transcript is spliced from 3 exons. The record is from RefSeq and is a predicted model, not a curated record.